UAUCUAAUCCGGCUGGGGAGUACGGUCGCAAGGCUAAAACUCAAAGGAAUUGACGGGGGCCCGCACAAGCGGUGGAGUAUGUGGUUUAAUUCGAAGCAACGCGCAGAACCUUACCUACCCUUAACAUUUCACGCUCGCCUCAGAGAUGAGGUUUUCUCUUCGGAGACGUGAGGAUAGGUGCUGCAUGGCUGUCGUCAGCUCGUGUCGUAAGAUGUCUGGUUAAGUCCAAUAACGAGCGCAACCCUUAUCCUUAGUUACCAGCAUUGAGUUGGGGACUCUAGGGAGACUGCCGGUGUUAAACCGGAGGAAGGCGGGAUGACGUCAAGUCCUCAUGGCCCUUACGGGUAGGGCUACACACGUACUACAAUGGCAGAACAACCGAAGCGAUAUUGCGAGAUGGAGCUAAACGGUAAACACUGUACUCAGUCCGGAUUGAAGUCUGCAACUCGACUUCAUGAAGCUGGAAUCGCUAGUAAUCGCUGAUCAGCAAGCAGCGUNAUACG
Molecule: ribosomal RNA, 503 nt
Filed under: uncultured bacterium
Lineage: Bacteria
Description: bacterial SSU rRNA
Rfam family: Bacterial small subunit ribosomal RNA
Source: RNAcentral